This 1239-nucleotide unclassified non-coding RNA is filed under the name Pocillopora damicornis (cauliflower coral). Its description in RNAcentral is "acid-sensing ion channel 1C-like, transcript variant X2". Lineage: Eukaryota; Metazoa; Cnidaria; Anthozoa; Scleractinia; Pocilloporidae. The record is from RNAcentral.
UUCAGUCAAAUUUAUCCCAUUGUUGCACGAAAACAGUUUUUUAGGGGAAGGCAAGGGUCCACUAUGGAUCCUGCAUUAUCUAAAGCAGAGUUGGGAGAGACAAAAUAUCCAAAGCGAGGCAAGUCAUAUGAUCUUAACCACACUUCUGACGGUCAGACUGCUCAAGUCUCGAGUCAAAAAGCAGAGAUAGAGAAAACAUGGAAUAAAUUUGUCGAGUCGUCCACUCUUCAUGGUUUGCUUCACGUCUUCUCCAGCUCAACCAGAACGCGUCGCUUUCUAUGGGCUGUGCUUCUCUUGCUAGCAAUGAUGUGGUUUUCAUUUCAGUCCUUCAAGUUGCUUGAGAAGUAUUACAGCUACCAGGUCACGACAAAAGUCAGUUUGAAAUACGACCCUAUGCCGACUUUUCCAGCGGUGACUAUCUGCAACUUCAACGUGUUCAAAAGGUCUGUGGUUAGAACGUCAGCGUAUGAAGAAAUUUUGCCCCUACUUCAUGCAUCCUUUGUUGAAAAAAUGGGCUUGCCCGAUUUCAAUGAUAGCAUUGACUUAAACAAAUAUCAUGACUUGAACCUCACACAGUUUUACAUCGAUGCGGGACACCAAAGCUAUGAUACUGUUGGAUAUUGCAUUUGGAACGGAAAACCGACCUGCGAUCACAGGAAUUUCACGUCCGUGUUGACAUCAAUGGGACUUUGCCACACUUUCAACUCAGGAAGAGAUGGUCAACGUCUACUGCGAGUAAGGCAGGCAGGUUCCAAUCGUGGAUUACACUUGAUAUUGAACGUUAAACAAGAGGAAUAUUACGGGACGACAUCGUAUGUUGCCGGCCUCAAAGUUCUCAUUCAUGAUCAGCAGACUCUGCCACUGGUCUCUCAGCUUGGCUUUGCUGUGAGUCCUGGUACGAGUACGUUUGCGGCGUUAAAAAAACUACGGACACUCAAUCUUCCAAAACCUUAUGAGGGAAACUGCCAUGACAAAGAGAUUACUAGCAUACCUGGCUAUAACAAGUACACGAUUCCUUCUUGCCAAGAGAUUUGUGUGACCAACUUUGUAAUAAACAAGUGUGGAUGCAGGGACGCUUUGAUGCCGGGUCUUUUAGAUGACAGGUAUUCAUGAGUAACUCAUGACGGUAAAAUAAAGAAAUGCAUUUGUACCAAAAUGAACAACACCAGAGUGUGUGGAUUGAGUGAAAUCAAGAACUGCCUUGUGAAAGAGAUGAGCAACUUUUAUAGUAGAAUAGAU